GCUUACGGCCAUACCAGUGUGAAAGCGCCCGAUCUCGUCUGAUCUCAGAAGUUAAACAUGCACGGGCUCGGCCAGUACUUGGAUGGGAGACCACCUGGGAACCCCGGGUGCUGUAAGCU
Ribosomal RNA from Polypterus senegalus (gray bichir), 119 nucleotides. The record is from RefSeq and is a predicted model, not a curated record. NCBI's taxonomy places the organism in Eukaryota, Metazoa, Chordata, Cladistia, Polypteriformes, Polypteridae.